This is a long non-coding RNA of Sinocyclocheilus rhinocerous, 406 nucleotides long. RefSeq lists it as uncharacterized. The record is from RefSeq and is a predicted model, not a curated record. NCBI's taxonomy places the organism in Eukaryota, Metazoa, Chordata, Actinopteri, Cypriniformes, Cyprinidae. The transcript has 4 exons.
UAAUCCAGCUGCAGCGUGUUGUUUUGAUGAAGUGGUCACGCGGAUCAGCUCCAUCUCACCAUCUGUCUCUCUGCGCCAGUGUUCCAGGUUCAUUGAUAGUGAAGUUUGUCACACUUCAUGACAGUGAUUGUGCUGCUGGUGGCUUCAUAGGCUCUGCUGUCAUGGAGGAAUUUUGACAAACCCUCACCAGCUGACAGACGUGACAUGGGAUGCGGAGUCACGAAAUCAACCCAACUGCAGCUGAAACCAUGCAAUCGAGGGAACAUCUCAGUUCCAGCGGCUACAGGUCAGACAGAUCACAUGUUUCUGUGAGUCUAAAGAAACUUCACUGUCACUCAUGUCUCCUGCUGGCCUGACUUUCUCUCGUCUGUCUGUCUGUCUGUCUCUCGUCUGUCUGUCUGUCUGU